UUUGAUGCAUACCCGUUGUGGGGAAUUCAGUGAUCCUAUGCUGCCGAGAAAAGCCUCUAGUGAGUUCAUACACGGCCCGUACCCCAAACCGACACAGGUGAUCAGGUAGAGAAUACCAAGGCGAUCGAGAGAACUGUGGUUAAGGAACUCGGCAAAAUGCCCCCGUAACUUCGGGAGAAGGGGGACCAUGCCCGGUGAACAUCUUCACGGUGGGAGCUGGGUGUGGUCGCAGAGACCAGAGAGAAGCGACUGUUUACUAAAAACACAGGUCCGUGCGAAGACGUAAGUCGAUGUAUACGGACUGACGCCUGCCCGGUGCUGGAAGGUUAAGAGGACCGGUUAGCCGCAAGGCGAAGCUGAGAAUUUAAGCCCCAGUAAACGGCGGUGGUAACUAUAACCAUCCUAAGGUAGCGAAAUUCCUUGUCGGGUAAGUUCCGACCUGCACGAAUGGCGUAACGACUUCUCUGCUGUCUCGACCACAGACUCGGCGAAAUUGCACUACGAGUAAAGAUGCUCGUUACGCGCGGCAGGACGAAAAGACCCCGGGACCUUUACUAUAGCUUGGUAUUGGCGUUCGAUUCGGUUUGUGUAGGAUAGGUGGGAGACUGUGAAGCAUGCACGCCAGUGUGUGUGGAGUCGUUGUUGAAAUACCACUCUGAUCGUAUUGGACGUCUAACCUCGGCCCAUGAUCUGGGUUAGGGACAGUGCCUGGUGGGUAGUUUAACUGGGGCGGUUGCCUCCUAAAGAGUAACGGAGGCGCCCAAAGGUUCCCUCAGCCUGGAUGGCAAUCAGGUGUUGAGUGCAAGUGCACAAGGGAGCUUGACUGUGAGACUGACACGUCGAGCAGGGACGAAAGUCGGGACUAGUGAUCCGGCACCGGCAAGUGGAAGCGGUGUCGCUCAACGGAUAAAAGGUACCCCGGGGAUAACAGGCUGAUCUUCCCCAAGAGCCCAUAUCGACGGGAUGGUUUGGCACCUCGAUGUCGGCUCGUCGCAUCCUGGGGCUGGAGUAGGUCCCAAGGGUUGGGCUGUUCGCCCAUUAAAGCGGCACGCGAGCUGGGUUUAGAACGUCGUGAGACAGUUCGGUCUCUAUCCGCCGCGCGCGUAAGAAACUUGAGGAAGGCUGUCCUUAGUACGAGAGGACCGGGACGGACGAACCUCUGGUGUGCCAGUUGUUCCACCAGGAGCAUGGCUGGUUAGCUACGUUCGGAAGGGAUAACCGCUGAAAGCAUCUAAGCGGGAAGCCUGUUCCAAGAUGAGGUUUCUCACCACCUUGCGUGGUUAAGGCCCCCUACAGACCAUGGGGUUGAUAGGCCGGAACUGGAAGCGCAGCAAUGCGUGGAGGUGACCGGUACUAAUAGGCCGAGGGCUUACC
This 1374-nucleotide ribosomal RNA is filed under the name metagenome. Its description in RNAcentral is "bacterial LSU rRNA". It matches the Rfam family "Bacterial large subunit ribosomal RNA", at positions 1562 to 2925 of the family's 2925-position model. The record is from RNAcentral.